AGCGAGAAAACCAAUGUUAAGGAACUCUGCAAAUUGACCCCGUAAGUUCGCGAGAAGGGGCGCCCAUUUUGAUGGGCCACAGUAAAUUUUGAGGGGCAACUGUUUAUCAAAAACACAGCUCUCUGCUAAACCGCAAGGUGAUGUAUAGGGGGUGAAGCCUGCCCAGUGCCCGAAGGUUAAAUGGAUGCGUUAGCUUAUGCGAAGCGUUGAAAUGAAGCCCGGGUGAACGGCGGCCGUAACUAUAACGGUCCUAAGGUAGCGAAAUUCCUUGUCGGCUAAAUACUGACCUGCACGAAAGGCGCAAUGAUCUCUCAACUGUCUCAACAUUGGACUCGGUGAAAUUAUGGUCCCAGUGAAAACGCUGGGUACCCGCAUCAAGACGAAAAGACCCCAUGGAGCUUUACUACAACUUCGUAUUGGAACUUGGCCUAACAUGUGUAGGAUAGGUGGGAGACUAUGAGAUUAUGACGCUAGUCAUAAAGGAGUCAACCUUGAAAUACCACCCUUGGUAUGUUGAGUUUCUAACUUGCCGCCGUUAUCCGGUGGGAGGACAGUGCGUGGUGGGUAGUUUGACUGGGGCGGUCGCCUCCUAAAAGGUAACGGAGGCGUUCAAAGGUACACUCAAUACGGUCAGAA
RNAcentral lists this ribosomal RNA (636 nucleotides) under Mycoplasmopsis pullorum. RNAcentral describes it as "Mycoplasma pullorum partial 23S ribosomal RNA". It matches the Rfam family "Bacterial large subunit ribosomal RNA", at positions 1689 to 2336 of the family's 2925-position model. Lineage: Bacteria; Bacillati; Mycoplasmatota; Mycoplasmoidales; Metamycoplasmataceae. The record is from RNAcentral.